ACGCACGCUGGCGGCGUGCCUAAUACAUGCAAGUAGAACGCUGAAGGAGGAGCUUGCUUCUCUGGAUGAGUUGCGAACGGGUGAGUAACGCGUAGGUAACCUGCCUGGUAGCGGGGGAUAACUAUUGGAAACGAUAGCUAAUACCGCAUAAGAGUAGAUGUUGCAUGACAUUUGCUUAAAAGGUGCAAUUGCAUCACUACCAGAUGGACCUGCGUUGUAUUAGCUAGUUGGUGGGGUAACGGCUCACCAAGGCGACGAUACAUAGCCGACCUGAGAGGGUGGUCGGCCGCCCUGGGACUGAGACACGGCCCAGACUCCUACGGGAGGCAGCAGUAGGGAAUCUUCGGCCAUGGGCGGAAGUCUGACCGCGCAACGCCGCGUGAGUGAAGAAGGUUUUCGGAUCGUAAAGCUCUGUUGUAAGAGAAGAACGAGUGUGGGAGUGGAAAGUUCACACUGUGACGGUAUCUUACCAGAAAGGGACGGCUAACUACGUG
Molecule: ribosomal RNA, 494 nt
Filed under: uncultured bacterium
Lineage: Bacteria
Description: partial 16S ribosomal RNA
Rfam family: Bacterial small subunit ribosomal RNA
Source: RNAcentral